UCCAUAGGUUAAUGAGGCGAACCGGGGGAACUGAAACAUCUAAGUACCCCGAGGAAAAGAAAUCAACCGAGAUUCCCCCAGUAGCGGCGAGCGAACGGGGAGGAGCCCAGAGCCUGAAUCAGUGUGUGUGUUAGUGGAAGCGUCUGGAAAGGCGCGCGAUACAGGGUGACAGCCCCGUACACAAAAAUGCACAUAUUGUGAGCUCGAUGAGUAGGGCGGGACACGUGGUAUCCUGUCUGAAUAUGGGGGGACCAUCCUCCAAGGCUAAAUACUCCUGACUGACCGAUAGUGAACCAGUACCGUGAGGGAAAGGCGAAAAGAACCCCGGCGAGGGGAGUGAAAAAGAACCUGAAACCGUGUACGUACAAGCAGUGGGAGCCUCUUAAUGGGGUGACUGCGUACCUUUUGUAUAAUGGGUCAGCGACUUAUAUUCUGUAGCAAGGUUAACCGAAUAGGGGAGCCGAAGGGAAACCGAGUCUUAACUGGGCGUUAAGUUGCAGGGUAUAGACCCGAAACCCGGUGAUCUAGCCAUGGGCAGGUUGAAGGUUGGGUAACACUAACUGGAGGACCGAACCGACUAAUGUUGAAAAAUUAGCGGAUGACUUGUGGCUGGGGGUGAAAGGCCAAUCAAACCGGGAGAUAGCUGGUUCUCCCCGAAAGCUAUUUAGGUAGCGCCUCGUGAAUUCAUCUCCGGGGGUAGAGCACUGUUUCGGCAAGGGGGUCAUCCCGACUUACCAACCCGAUGCAAACUGCGAAUACCGGAGAAUGUUAUCACGGGAGACACACGGCGGGUGCUAACGUCCGUCGUGAAGAGGGAAACAACCCAGACCGCCAGCUAAGGUCCCAAAGUCAUGGUUAAGUGGGAAACGAUGUGGGAAGGCCCAGACAGCCAGGAUGUUGGCUUAGAAGCAGCCAUCAUUUAAAGAAAGCGUAAUAGCUCACUGGUCGAGUCGGCCUGCGCGGAAGAUGUAACGGGGCUAAACCAUGCACCGAAGCUGCGGCAGCGACGCUUAUGCGUUGUUGGGUAGGGGAGCGUUCUGUAAGCCUGCGAAGGUGUGCUGUGAGGC
Molecule: ribosomal RNA, 1067 nt
Filed under: Escherichia coli O96
Lineage: Bacteria; Pseudomonadati; Pseudomonadota; Gammaproteobacteria; Enterobacterales; Enterobacteriaceae
Description: partial 23S ribosomal RNA
Rfam family: Bacterial large subunit ribosomal RNA
Source: RNAcentral